ACACGACUACAUUAGACUACCCGUGUAGUCCUAGCCGUAAACGAUACUCGCUAGGUGUCGGCCACGGUGCGACCGUUGUCGGUGCCGUAGGGAAGCCGUGAAGCGAGCCACCUGGGAAGUACGGCCGCAAGGCUAGAAACUUAAAGGAAUUGGCGGGGGAGCACCACAACGGGUGGAGCUUGCGGUUUAAUUGGAUUCAACGCCGGAAAUCUUACCGGGACCGACAGCAACAUGAAGGCCAGGCUGAAGACUUUGCCGGAUUAGCUG
Molecule: ribosomal RNA, 267 nt
Filed under: uncultured archaeon
Lineage: Archaea
Description: partial 16S ribosomal RNA
Rfam family: Archaeal small subunit ribosomal RNA
Source: RNAcentral